Small nucleolar RNA from Dasypus novemcinctus (nine-banded armadillo), 131 nucleotides. The record is from Ensembl. NCBI's taxonomy places the organism in Eukaryota, Metazoa, Chordata, Mammalia, Cingulata, Dasypodidae.
AUGCAUCUCUGACAGACCUGCUGCUGUUAAUGUCUGCUGCUAAGGUUUCCAAUACAGAUGCAAGAAAAAAGGUCCUCACAUUUUCUGUUUAUCUAGUGGUGGCAGCCAAGAUUGAACGGGAGAAUACAGGA